This 592-nucleotide ribosomal RNA is filed under the name uncultured archaeon. Its description in RNAcentral is "bacterial SSU rRNA". It matches the Rfam family "Archaeal small subunit ribosomal RNA", at positions 7 to 606 of the family's 1478-position model. The record is from RNAcentral.
GUUGAUCCUGCCGGACCUGACUGCUAUCGUAUUGGUACUAAGCCAUGCGAGUCGUUGUACAAUACAAGGCGGACUGCUCAGUAACACGUAGUUAACUUAACCUAUGGAUGGGCAUAACCUCGGGAAACUGAGAAUAAUACCCAAUGGACCACAGUGCCUGGAAUGGCCUGUGGUUGAAAUGAUUUAUCGCCGUAGGAUAGGACUGCGGCCUAUCAGCUUGUUGGUGAGGUAAUGGCCCACCAAGGCUAUAACAGGUACGGGCUCUGAGAGGAGGGGCCCGGAGAUGGGUACUGAGACACGGACCCAGGCCCUAUGGGGCGCAGCAGGCGAGAAACCUUUGCAAUGUGCGAAAGCACGACAAGGUUAAUCCGAGUGUCUCCUGCUAAAGGAGUCUUUUGUCAGUUGUAGAAUCACUGGUGAAUAAGGGGUGGGCAAGUUCUGGUGUCAGCCGCCGCGGUAAAACCAGCACCUCGAGUGGUCAGGAGGUUUAUUGGGCCUAAAGCAUCCGUAGCCGGUUGCAUACGUUUUCGGUUAAAUCUAUGCGCUUAACGUAUAGGCCGCCGAAAAUACUGUGCAGCUAGGGAGUGGGAGA